GGGCGGACGGCAACGACGGACAAGGGGUUGCGCCGGACUGUAAAUCCGGAACGGAGAAACUGUGUGGGUUCGAGUCCCUCUCCGCUCACCA
RNAcentral lists this transfer RNA (91 nucleotides) under Pararhizobium sp. BT-229. Its description in RNAcentral is "tRNA-Tyr". It matches the Rfam family "tRNA". From Rfam's summary of the family: Transfer RNA (tRNA) molecules are approximately 80 nucleotides in length. Their secondary structure includes four short double-helical elements and three loops (D, anti-codon, and T loops). The record is from RNAcentral. Lineage: Bacteria; Pseudomonadati; Pseudomonadota; Alphaproteobacteria; Hyphomicrobiales; Rhizobiaceae.